This 471-nucleotide ribosomal RNA is filed under the name uncultured bacterium. RNAcentral's name for it is "bacterial SSU rRNA". It matches the Rfam family "Bacterial small subunit ribosomal RNA", at positions 335 to 802 of the family's 1533-position model. The record is from RNAcentral.
ACUCCUACGGGAGGCAGCAGUGGGGAAUAUUGCACAAUGGGGGAAACCCUGAUGCAGCCAUGCCGCGUGUGUGAAGAAGGCCUUCGGUUGUAAAGCACUUUCAGUAGGGAGGAAGGUAGUGUAGUUAACACCUGCAUUAUUUGACGUUACCUACAGAAGAAGCACCGGCUAACUCCGUGCCAGCAGCCGCGGUAAUACGGAGGGUGCGAGCGUUAAUCGGAAUUACUGGGCGUAAAGUGCAUGCAGGCGGCCUGUUAAGUCAGAUGUGAAAGCCCGGGGCUUAACCUCGGAAUUGCAUUUGAAACUGGCAGGCUAGAGUCUGUAGAGGGGUUAGAAUUUCAGGUGUAGCGGUGAAAUGCGUAGAGAUCUGAAGGAAUACCAGUGGCGAAGGCGGCCCCUGGACAAAGACUGACGCUCAGAUGCGAAAGCGUGGGAGCAAACGAGGAUUAGAUACCCCGUGGUAGACUGUCA